RNAcentral lists this ribosomal RNA (483 nucleotides) under uncultured bacterium. RNAcentral's name for it is "bacterial SSU rRNA". It matches the Rfam family "Bacterial small subunit ribosomal RNA", at positions 328 to 803 of the family's 1533-position model. The record is from RNAcentral.
GAAUUCAACUCCUACGGGAGGCAGCAGUAGGGAAUCUUCGGCAAUGGACGAAAGUCUGACCGAGCAACGCCGCGUGAGUGAAGAAGGUUUUCGGAUCGUAAAACUCUGUUGUUAGAGAAGAACGUUGUGUAGAGUGGAAAAUUACACAAGUGACGGUAUCUAACCAGAAAGGGACGGCUAACUACGUGCCAGCAGCCGCGGUAAUACGUAGGUCCCGAGCGUUGUCCGGAUUUAUUGGGCGUAAAGCGAGCGCAGGUGGUUUAAUAAGUCUGAUGUAAAAGGCAGUGGCUCAACCAUUGUGUGCAUUGGAAACUGUUAGACUUGAGUGCAGUAGAGGAGAGUGGAAUUCCAUGUGUAGCGGUGAAAUGCGUAGAUAUAUGGAGGAACACCGGUGGCGAAAGCGGCUCUCUGGACUGUAACUGACACUGAGGCUCGAAAGCGUGGGUAGCAAACAGGAUUAGAUACCCUAGUAGUCCAGGCGUU